Molecule: ribosomal RNA, 549 nt
Filed under: uncultured bacterium
Lineage: Bacteria
Description: partial 16S ribosomal RNA
Rfam family: Bacterial small subunit ribosomal RNA
Source: RNAcentral
UGGGGAAUCUUCCGCAAUGGACGAAAGUCUGACGGAGCAACGCCGCGUGUAUGAUGAAGGUCUUCGGAUUGUAAAGUACUGUCAUUGGGGAAGAACGGUUUUCUUGAAAAGAUUGAGAAGACAUGACGGUACCCAAGGAGGAAGCCCCGGCUAACUACGUGCCAGCAGCCGCGGUAAUACGUAGGGGGCAAGCGUUGUCCGGAAUUAUUGGGCGUAAAGGGCGCGUAGGCGGGCCUUUAAGUCCGGUGUGAAAGAUCAGGGCUCAACCCUGAGAGUGCAUCGGAAACUGGAGGCCUUGAGGACAGGAGAGGAAAGUGGAAUUCCACGUGUAGCGGUGAAAUGCGUAGAUAUGUGGAGGAACACCAGUGGCGAAGGCGACUUUCUGGACUGUAACUGACGCUGAGGCGCGAAAGCGUGGGGAGCAAACAGGAUUAGAUACCCUGGUAGUCCACGCCGUAAACGAUGAGUGCUAGGUGUAGAGGGUAUCGACCCCUUCUGUGCCGCAGUUAACACAAUAAGCACUCCCGCCUGGGGAGUACGGCCGCAAGG